Molecule: long non-coding RNA, 1326 nt
Filed under: Anser cygnoides (Swan goose)
Lineage: Eukaryota; Metazoa; Chordata; Aves; Anseriformes; Anatidae
Description: lncRNA (ENSACDG00005017009.1)
Source: RNAcentral
CAGCGCUCUUUGGAUUGCCUGAAAUAAAAUACAAUGCAGCGCAGAGGCAGCACUUCAUGGUAACGUGGGGUGUGGUAGGGCCUGCGGGCUUAGGUCCCUGUUCAGCCCCUGGUCCCGAGCCCCUUGGGAAGGCUUUGGCUGAUCCCUCCUGGGUGUCUUGGUGUGUUUGGACAUCUCACCGUGUGUUUGGACAUCUCAUCGUGGGCUGUUUCCUCCUGUCCCCCUGCCAGCUGGGCUCCCUGGAAGCAGCAGAGGAGCCCUUCUGCUGCCUACACCCCAAAGCCCUCGGGCUGAGAACGGGAAAAUCGGCCCUAAAGCAGCCCUAAGCCGAUCGCAAGGCUCAGAACAAAAGUAUUUAACUCUGGAGCCCUGGAGCUUAGGUGAAUGCCCGCAGGAUCAGCGCUAAUUGCAGCCGUUGUGACCUGCUGAGGUGUGCAGGACCUGAACACCUCCAACGCCGUGAGCCUCUUGGUGAGCAGCCCGGCAGGAGGACGGCCCUGGGUGCCAAAAUAAUCGCAGGCCAGGUAAACCACGGAGGGAUGCGCUGCGUGUCCCGCUGCGGGGCGCGUCCUGGCACGAGUGACUCAUCCUCUGCGAGGCUGAUCCCGUGCUUAGCGAGUCUUAAUUACCUCUCCGCUCCAUGGGCUGGGGGAGGCUAAACACUUCUUCCAUUUUUAAACGAGACGAGGUGCCUGCCUUGUACGUGCUCGCUGCAGUUUUUCCACAGAGCUCGUUGAGACGGGAAGCGGAGGGGUUUUGUUUGGAAAUGCUGCGGCGCUGGGAGCGUGCGGCAACGGGGAGGGGUGGGCUCUGAGGGGAAGCAAUCUACACACACGAGCUGGUGCAAAGUAUGUUUGUGUAGCGACUAAACUGGAUCUAAACAGACCCAAAACAGGGCCCGAGUGGAGGGAGAAGUGACUCGUGAGUUUCGUUUUCCUGUUGGCACGAGAGCCUCUCUCGGUUCCCCAGCCCCUUGCACCGCGUUCCUGUACGGCGCUGUUACCUCCCCGGGCUGAGCAGCGAGGUGAAGCCGACACCUCCUGCCCCCACCAGCCUGAGCGCGGGGCGGGGGGAGGCUGAGGCCAAGGAGUUUCUUUUUAUAGCGUGGCCUGUCCUGUCCUUGGCGUUCCGAGGAGCUCAGUGCCUCCAGGACGCCCGGCAGCGGGCAGGAGGCUUUUGGAGCUGACGCAGGGAGGGCCUGUGCUUGGCUGCCGGGAGCUCCUCGCUCGUCGUGCUGGGAGGAAAGCGUCCUGCCUGAUUUCCAGGAAAACUGUCUGGCUACAACACCCGUGUUAGAGCCAGGCGGGGUUUGUAGGGCAGGGGAGG